CCUACGGGGGGCAGCAGUGGGGAAUAUUGCACAAUGGGCGCAAGCCUGAUGCAGCCAUGCCGCGUGUGUGAAGAAGGCCUUCGGGUUGUAAAGCACUUUCAGCGGGGAGGAAGGCGGUGAGGUUAAUAACCUCAUCGAUUGACGUUACCCGCAGAAGAAGCACCGGCUAACUCCGUGCCAGCAGCCGCGGUAAUACGGAGGGUGCAAGCGUUAAUCGGAAUUACUGGGCGUAAAGCGCACGCAGGCGGUCUGUCAAGUCGGAUGUGAAAUCCCCGGGCUCAACCUGGGAACUGCAUUCGAAACUGGCAGGCUAGAGUCUUGUAGAGGGGGGUAGAAUUCCAGGUGUAGCGGUGAAAUGCGUGGAGAUCUGGAGGAAUACCGGUGGCGAAGGCGGCCCCCUGGACAAAGACUGACGCUCAGGUGCGAAAGCGUGGAGAGCAAACAGGAUUAGAUACCCCUGUAGUC
This 465-nucleotide ribosomal RNA is filed under the name uncultured Klebsiella sp. Its description in RNAcentral is "bacterial SSU rRNA". It matches the Rfam family "Bacterial small subunit ribosomal RNA", at positions 338 to 795 of the family's 1533-position model. Lineage: Bacteria; Pseudomonadati; Pseudomonadota; Gammaproteobacteria; Enterobacterales; Enterobacteriaceae. The record is from RNAcentral.